GCAGGUUCUCAGCAACCUGAAGGGGCAUCUCGACUAUUCAUUUGCUUCUGCCUGGCACCCUAAUGGCCAAAUUUUAGCUACUGGAAACCAGGAUACAACCUGCAGAUUGUGGGAUGUAAGGAACCUGUCAGAGUCCUUCGCUGUACUCAAAGGGAGAAUGGGUGCAAUCAGGGCCAUAAGAUUCUCAUCAGAUGGGCAAUUUAUGGCAAUGACUGAACCUGCUGACUUUGUUCACAUAUUCGAUGCUGAAUCUGAUUAUGCCCGUGGUCAAGAGAUUGAUCUGUUUGGUGAGAUAGCCGGAAUUUCCUUCAGCCCUG
This 317-nucleotide long non-coding RNA is filed under the name Olea europaea (common olive). RNAcentral's name for it is "long non-coding RNA (OEUR_LNC002646)". Lineage: Eukaryota; Viridiplantae; Streptophyta; Magnoliopsida; Lamiales; Oleaceae. The record is from RNAcentral.